UGAAUACGAGAUGCUACGGCGUCGAAGCAGUGUAUGUCAGACUUCCAAGAAAAGCUCGCAAUGUCAUAAAUAAAGAAUGCCUGUACCAUAACCGACACAGGUGGGUAGGUAGAGUAUACUAAGGGGCGCGAGAUAACUCUCUCUAAGGAACUCGGCAAAAUAACUCCGUAACUUCGGGAGAAGGAGUGCCUUCUUUAAGAAGGUUGCAAUAACAAGAUCCAAGCAACUGUUUAUCAAAAACACAGGUCUCCGCUAAGUCGUAAGACGAUGUAUGGGGGCUGACGCCUGCCCAGUGCCAGAAGGUUAAAGAAGUUGGUUAGCUUUUGCGAAGCUGAUGACUGAAGCCCUAGUGAACGGCGGCCGUAACAAUAACGGUCCUAAGGUAGCGAAAUUCCUUGUCGGGUAAGUUCCGACCCGCACGAAAGGCGUAAUGAUUUGGAUACUGUCUCGGAGAGGGACUCGGUGAAAUAGACUUGUCUGUGAAGAUGCGGACUACCUGCACCAGGACAGAAAGACCCUAUGAAGCUUUACUGUAACUUGAAAUUGAAAUUGGACUUUAUUUGCGCAGUAUAGGUGGAAGGCGUUGAAAGUAAUCUUGCGGGAUUAGUGGAGCCAUCAGUGAGAUACCACUCCUAUAAUGUUAGAUUUCUAACUUUGGAUCAUGAUCUGGUCAAAGAACAGUUUCAGGCGGGCAGUUUGACUGGGGCGGUCGCCUCCCAAAUGGUAACGGAGGCGUACAAAGGUUUCCUCUGAACGGGUAGAAAUCGUAUCUAGAGUGUAAAGGCAUAAGGAAGCUUGACUGUGUGACCUACAAGUCGAGCAGGGACGAAAGUCGGUCUUAGUGAUCUGACGGUGCUGAGUGGAAAGGCCGUCACUCAACGGAUAAAAGUUACUCUAGGAUAACAGGCUGAUCUCCCCCAAGAGUUCACAUCGACGGGGAGGUUUGGCACCUCGAUGUCGGCUCAUCGCAUCCUGGGGCGGUAGUACGUCCCAAGGGUUGGGCUGUUCGCCCAUGAAAGCGGUACGCGAGCUGGGUUCAGAACGUCGUGAGACAGUUCGGUCCAUAUCCGGUGUAGGCGUUAGAAUAUUGAGAGGAGCCUUCUUUAGUACGAGAGGACCGAGAAGGACAUACCUCUGGUGUACCAGUUAUCGUGCCAACGGUAAACGCUGGGUAGCUAUGUAUGGAGAGGAUAACCGCUGAAAGCAUCUAAGUGGGAAGCCCACCUCAAGAUGAGUAUUCUCA
Molecule: ribosomal RNA, 1243 nt
Filed under: metagenome
Description: bacterial LSU rRNA
Rfam family: Bacterial large subunit ribosomal RNA
Source: RNAcentral